RNAcentral lists this long non-coding RNA (2503 nucleotides) under Triticum aestivum (bread wheat). Its description in RNAcentral is "long non-coding RNA (TAES_LNC007366)". Lineage: Eukaryota; Viridiplantae; Streptophyta; Magnoliopsida; Poales; Poaceae. The record is from RNAcentral.
CAGUACCACGGCCAGCCGCCGGCACCGCUACUGCUCUCUCCGGCCUGUCCCUCGGCCAGACGCUGUCAUGCUGAAUGCUAGCUGUCCAUUCUCCCGGUCAAUCGCCACCAUGCCCGACGCUCUCUCGGCGAGCCGCCGCCACCGCGACCGACGUUCCGCCACCUACUACUGCCGCCACGACCGACGAUCUCCCCUGCAUUAAUUCUCUUCCUGCUACCGCUCUAUGGCCGCCACUACCCUUCCAGCUCCACAACAUAUGAUAUUCCGGCCACAAAUGCACAUGAAACGGCCUCACUCACCAACUAAUUCACCUAACCUCAUUACAUCACCCUUCAUUAACCUGCAAAUGCGGAAGAAAGUGGAUUUAAGUACCCCUGCUAUGUAGUGUCAUUGUCAUCCAUCACACAUGACUUCUUGCGUCCCAUCGCAAGAGGCCUUCGGCCAGGUAGCUGCAUAGUUCCUAUUUCCAAAUGCCUAUGAUUUUUCCAAUCCUGAAGCUUAUGCCUUUUUAUCUUUUCAGGUGGCGCUUGAGAUCAAAGGUGCUCUGCUCCAUGUUAUUCUUCAAACAUCUCUUACUGUUGGGAAUUGUUUCAUUACUUCACAUGUUUCUUUGCAUUUGUUCCAGAUUGUGAUUUACUCUCACUUUGUCAUGUGCAGCAAAUUCUCCUCGAGACGCCCUCUGAUUCCGCCCCCUUGCACUACAGGUCUGGUUCUUACACCUAGAACUGCAUCAUCUAAUUUUUUUUGCUUGGUUGUGCUAUUCUCAUCUUGGAAAUUGCAUAUCUUGGCCGAUGCAAAGGUUGAUGCGAUCUGGCUGCUGUACAGAAAUAUAACGAAAUUUUGCUCUUAAAUUUUCCAUGUUCCAAUAUACCACAAUAUUGUGUCCGUUAGUUGAUUUUACCUGUAUAUUUCUAUGACAUAUUAUCAAUAAAUAUCUAUGGAUUUUAAGUUUUGCUAUAUAAUCUUUUUCUCCCAUGCAAUCUGAUUGUUGUAUAAUGUAUAUACAUCACUAAUCUGUUAGUUGAGCCAAGUCACAUACCAGAGAAGAAUUAAAAGAUGCAGUUCGUUCAAUCUGCAGACAAGCAACACGAACAUUAGAAACUACAUCUAUAAUUGGAAACAAAGAGGAAUUAUAUGUUCUUAUCAAUAUAUCAUCAAGUAUAACUACAUGCAACAAAUAGACAUGUGACUCUGCUAGCUUGAAAGACUGUAUGUAUAUCUUGGGAAUAAUACACUUGACAGGUCUACAUGUGUUCUUGCUUCAAGCUUUGUCUCUAACAUUAUGAAUUAUCUAUACGGUGUAUAGUUUACCGUAAAUGUUAGAUAAGUGAACUGAUAAAAAAAUAUAAGAGAUGUGUAAAAGAGGAAAAAUAUAUACAACCACAGAUUUAGCAAGAGAAAACUUGGGCUUAACUCGCUUUGCUUAUUGAACUUAUUACAUUUUGCAAGACGUAUACAGUCACCUUUAGAUGGGUACCAGUAUAAUAAAAUUAGUCUAAAGCUUAUACAUGUGUUAGGCUGCCUGGUGCACAGUUGGAUAGGAUGGGAAAAGAAAAUAAUUAUUCAACAUAAUCAGUCCCCUUAAUUUGGUUUCCAUCAAGAAAUGUAGACUCGGAUGUAUUCAAACUUCCUUUACUUCCUAUUUUGUCCGUUGUUUGCUUUACUGAAAACAUAGAUUUGGAGCAACACAACGAGAUUAUAAUUUUGGUACUGCCAUAUAUUUGAAAAUCUUUCUUAAUUAUUCUGGCAUUAUCACCAUUUUCUGUUUAGUCGAUGUAUUAAAUGUUCCUCCCUCAUAUAGAAAAUUAUGGAUGUAUACCAUCUAUUUAAUUUGUACUGCUAGCAGCAAACUAAGUGUGCAGUUUAAUUAGCAUAGUUUGGUAACCAGCAAGAGUGAAUUUUAUUUAGCCUCAUUUGGUAAUCAGCAAAACAACUUACUACUACAACACACACAUCUAUAUAACAUAAUCCUGUCGUAUUUUCAGCUUACCUUAUCUUUUCAAUCACGGGUCAACAAUAGGUACAAAUGGACAACCAAAGUAGCAGGCACUCCUACUGAAAUUGGUAUACCCUAUAUUUUAUUUCAUUUCUUACCUUGAUUGAGAACAUACAUCUAUUUUCUCCAGGAUGUCACCUAAUUCCGCAAACAAUAAUCUGCCAUGUUCUACCAUCAUUUCAAUAAGAGAAGCUCAAAAGAAAUACACAGAUGCAAUUGCAAAGAGGAAGAGCACAAAAGACCUGGAGUUUAUAACUGUCUGGUGACCAUCUAUUUUCAUAUGUUGGACACAUUGUUGAGUAUGAAGAAUGAGAUACCAUAUGUCCAGGUCGUAGUAAUUGCUCAAGGCACACCUACAAACAACAUCAAAGAUAUCCUGCAACAGUAUAUUUGAUGCUACAAAGUGCUAUAGCUUUAUCAUAUACAAUAUAUAUUGUUCAUGCUAUAAACUGCUAGGUUUAAUCAUGCGGUGCAUAUAAAUCUAUCACAAUUGAAAUUAUAUUCUUC